AAAAAAAAAAAAAAAAAAAAAAAAAAAAAAAAAAAAAAAAAAAGAGAGAGAGAGAGAGAGAAAAAGAGAAGAAAACCAAGAUAAAGCAUCCUUCGUGGGUACUCUGGUCCCAGUGGGGAAGAGAGGAGGCUGGUGACUUGUGCCCUAAAUGUAACUUUCAGGAGAGAGAGGGAAACCUUUUAUGAGAAAGAUUUAGAUGGAAGUAAUGUCAGAUAUUAUUAUCAUCAUCUUGCUUUGACAAGUCUGGGGCUGAGCUGGAUUUUGAACCCCCAAAUCUCUAUCAGGAACCCACAGAGCCUCCCCCAUGUUUUCUAAGAAUAAGAGAAAUAUUGCAUGUAAAUUUAAAUCUUACACAAUACCUCCCAAGAAAGUUUUACUGACAUCCUUAUAUAUGGUGGUUGUUCAAUUCAUCUUUGUUGAAUAAGUAACUAUCUGGGGAGGAAUGAGGGCAUGGAUGAAUGGGAGAAUGGAUGAAUAGACAGCCGGUUGGCUGGCUGGCUGAAUAUAUGGCAGGAAAUGGCUGAUUUCUUCAUGUAGAGUGCAUGGCUCUGCACAAAACAUAAGUUAAAAAGGAAUAAAUUGCCUGACUUGUUAUUGGGGAAUAGCAAUAGAAUUAGACCUCUAGAAUAACUCUUGAACAACCUUGUCAUUGUAAGAAUCUGGCACACAUGGUGGAGUCAUUGAUUCAAAUAUGGAAGUGUCCUCAGAAAUGCAAUAGUCCUCUUGACCUAGAGAGGAAGAUAAAAAAGUAACAAUGCCUUGGUACGAACUGCUAAUAUGUUACAGAACUUUAAUAUGAGCCUAGUUCUCAUAAAAACUGCCCUGCCUAGUGCACUUUCUCAUAAAGUCACUGUACUAUCUUAUAAAGUAAUUACAAACAGUAGGAUGAUUAGUUUUUUUUCCCCCCUCUUGCAGCUUUCAAAAGAAACAAAGUAUUAUUAGCUAAGGAAGAGAAGAGGUUUGGGUUUGCUAAAGCGGUAGCUCCUUCUAGAUUGGCGUGUCAUGCUCUUAGGCAGGAAUCAGACCUGUAAGCUGACAGGGGUUAAAGAAAUGUUCUUACUGUUUUUAUUAAUAAAGUCAUACUUCUACCAAACCAGACCAGAAAAUAUACUUAUCACAUAUAAAUCUUUUCCUAUUAAAUGGAAGAACUAGACUAGGAUUUAUAAGCAUUCUUUAGGGAUUGGAGUUGCACUUUUUGAAAGUACAUGAUUGAUUAUAAAACAUACAUGAAAAUCCUAAAACAUCUAAAAUUUAUGCGCAUUGCAUAGGAAAAAUAUAUAUAUAUAUAUAAGCAGAGGAACAGGUUUACAAAUCAUGCAAUAAAUCCGAAAUAAAGGGAUUUGAUUUCGCCAAUAUAUUUUGCACUUGAGAUAUAAAUGAUUUAUGUUAUAAAUCAGAACUCUAACAUCUUGUCAUCAUAAUAAAGUUUGCAAAUAUGAACCUUUAAAUAUGACUUACAGCUCUAGUUAAAAUUUCUAUCUAUCUUUUAUAAUUUUGGUUCUUUCUCAGAAUAAAAUUGGGUUAUGAAGUUUCAUCUUCUAAAUGAUGGUGAUUGCAAGGGCUAUGCUCACCCUAUUAUCAUUACUGGGGAAUUAUUGAGAAUCAGAAGGUUCUUUUUUGUAGGUUACAUUCUCACACACCAUGUAAGAUAACAUAUGUUAAAGCACUUUACAAACUGAAAAAAGUAUCAAAGUGUGGUAUGGUAUUUAGUAGCUGCUGAGUUCCCUCUGCUUUCAUAAUGCAAUGUCUCUUUGAAGACAUCAACUAGUUUAAAUGGGCACAGAUGGAGACAGGUGGAGUUUUAUCCUGCACCCACCCAUGGUCAAGUCUGCCUAGACAAUGAUCCUUCCAACUCACCAAUCUCUGAAAAUGAUGCCCUGACUAACCAGCUGGUAAUAUCUUAUUUCAGCAUUUCAGAUGCAUCACAACAUUGUUCCACUAUCCACAAGAUGAUUUUUUUUCUUUCUCCACUUAAAGAUAACAGAACUCUUAGUAGAGUUUCUCAACUAACUGUCAUUAUCAUGGCUAUUGCUUCACAAGCUUCUAUUACAAGUCAAGCAAUAUCUUGAUAUUUUUGUACAGAAUGUCUUUUGAGCCUCCUAACAAUGCCAUGGGUUAGGUUGCAGAUCAGGAAACUGGAUUUCUGAAAAUGUGCAUGUCUUAUAGAAGUUCACAUAAUCAAUCUCCUACAAAAGGAAAAGGUUUUGGGGGCUGGCUUAGCAUGCCUCCUGGCACCGUGGGCUCUCAAGGGGUGAGAUUAGAGUUCAUAAACCCAAAUGCUUACCAAGACCAGGUGUGUUGCAUAGUGUGUGUUGCAUAAGGGCUACCUGCCAGGUGUUGGCUCUACCUAGAAAGCUCUGAGAAUGCUCUACAACAAGCCAAUUGCUACCUAUGGAGACAGAGGUUUAGAAGUUCUAGAACAGAUAUUUUAGAAGAGGACUAGGUUUCAAACCUAGUAUUUUACAUGAAAACUCCUGAUUUUUAAGUUAUUACUCUUACUUUGAGGGUUUUGAUUUUUCCUAAAUGUUGUGCUGACCCCGUAAUGCAUCUGAAGAGCAGAUAUGACACAGAAUCUGGCAGUUUAAGACUUCUAGUACAGGUGUUACAAAAUUUAGAAUGACCUCUUUGUGUCCCCAUAUUUUACUUAAUUAAUUUUUGGUGGAGUUGGGUGCAAUGAAUCUUUUUAUCUGAAGAGGGGAGUUUCUAGAUUUCUAGUCUAUGAAAUGAAUCCAAUCAGUAUAACUCAGAAAUUAAUUUACAACAUAUCCCAUUGUUGUUUGUAUUAUUUCCUAUGGAAUCAAUUUUUUUUUAUGUUUUCUCAUCCCUAUCCAAUCUUACCGAUGUUUUUAUCCAUCAUUGUGAGUUUUCUCUAUGGCCAUUAUUUUUACCAUGUACAGUUCUGGAUCAAAUUCACUAAGUCUAAACCUUACCUGUACAUUUUCAGCAAAUGCCAAACUCUCUUUUAUGUGAAUCAUAUUUUCUAGUAAUAUUCUUAACUAAUUUAUUAAUUGAAUAAAGCCUGAUCAUUUGCAUUUAUGUCUUGGCAAACUCCUGAGGACAUGAUGAUUGACUCCCCUUGGGUAAUUCAGCGUUGCUUCCUUUUCUAAGAAUUUUAUAAGAGCUUUCUGAUAAUUUUACAUAUCUUGUCUGGGCCUUCCAACUAGGAGUGUGUGGGAUUUAUUAGAAGAAGGAGAGCAUGGAGUUGGUGGAAAUGACCUUAUUUAUGUAGGUUUGAACACUCAAGUAUUCUAUUUCAUCCUGCUGCCUGAAUAAUUUAAUAAAUGUGUGACAUCCUAAAGACACACUGAAUGAGGACACACAUUAUAAAACAAGGCCAUUUAACGAGUCUGCUAAAUAUAAGGAAUCUGAAAUCCAUGAAGAAUAUGACAGAGACUGGUAAUUGAUUCUGGCCUAUAAUCCAUUGCCUCUUCUUAUACUAAGGCUAUAUUUUGUUUUAAAUCCAGUCCAUCUUAUUCAUCAGUGUUAUUGAAACAUUGCCUGUAAUAACUGCAUAAGCUUUCUGAGAUAAUGCCUAGCUGAAUUAGCACUAAUUCCCUGUCAAGUCUUCUUAAGACUGUAUGUUUAACCUUUUUUCUUUCAAUCUUGGAAAGUCUGUGUCUUGAUAUGACUGCGUUAACUGAAAGAAAACAUUCUAUUUCUUGGAAUGUAUUUAAUGCUUAUGUUUUUAAAGAGAAGAUGGGGCUUUUUUUUUUUUUUUUAAGAGUUUGAGUCCUAUGAAAGCCUCAGGAAAUAAUCAAAAUCUAAAACCACAGGCUUCAUCCUUAUUCUGAGGGGAAAACAAAAUUUGAUGCUGUAUCUGAAAAUCAAGCCAAUUUAAAUUGAGUGUGUCCAAGUUCUCGCUCUCCUUUAUCUUCCCUCAAAUCCUCCUGGUACUCUGCCCCCAGCCUUCAUGGGGCUGAUACAUCAUUUCGCAGUUCUCAGUUUGAUGUUUUGCUAGUUUGCCAGCUCUUUCAAAAGAUCAUGUCCAAUCACCUUUAUUUCAUAGAUAAAUGGCCUAAGGGAGAGAGACAAUCUACUAUGUCUUCUGCAUCCCAGCCAUAGCGUCCAAUCAUCAUCAUCAUCAUCAUAUUACCAAUAAUAGCUAACUCUAAGAGGCUCUAGUAUGCUGGUACAAGUGGAAGCGAUGUAUUUAUAUUUUUUCCAGCACUACAGUUUCUCUGCAUGGAAGGUAGAAUUUCUCUUCUUUUUCACAAUGCAAGCUUAAAGUCUCAGAGUCUCAAUACUUGUCUAAGGUCUUCAAACUCCAAUAUGUGGUUCUUUUCCUAGUAACAUCUCUACAUAUAAAUGAAGCUAAUAUUUUUUUCUUGGUCCUGGGAAAGUGCAUUUUCCUUUGGUGGUUCAGAGAUUUUUUUUCUUUUCUCAUUUUUUUUUUUUUUGAUAUCUUAAGCUUAAUUGUAGCUUGGAGAUACAGAUAACUGCAAAGAUACAUGGAGAUUUAGAUAAAGAUACAGACUUUUUUUUUUUUUUUUUAAUGCUUGUCCUGAAGAGACUUCAAUUUUGGGGAGAAGUUAAUAUUUGUCAAGUAAUAUUUGUUUCAUUUUGUUUUGUUUUUCCUUUUUUUUUCCCUAAUGUGCUAGGUCUUUUGAUGGGCUCUGGAGAUACCUGGACAUUUAGGCUGUAAAUAUACUAACAGUUACUAUUCGCUGUGCAAGCUACCACCUGUCGGUUGCAAAUUUGAGGGCUUUAUAUCCUUUAUUAAGUCAUUAAAUCCUUACCAAAAUGCUCUAAAGUAGUUUCUCUAAUCACUUCACUUUUCAGAUAGGGAAACUGAGGCAUAGAUUUAGUAGCAUUUUACUAAAGAUGACGGAACUAGGAAGUGCACCCAGAGAGUUUUACCAUGUAGCCCAGGUUGUUAAACACUAUACCAUGUCUCCAUAUUAUAGAUUCUACCCUCAAACAGCUCAUGCACUAUUGAAGGAGACAAAUAUACAAAAAAAUGAAUUAUUAUGCCCUGCUACAAGUGUAAUAAUAUUGAUUGACACAGAGCAUUAAGGAGUAAUAAAGGAGAAACUCCUAACAGAACCUGGCAGAUAUUUGGUAUAGUAAACGGGGGAGAAGAGUGGCCAGAGAAGUCUUCUAAGAAAAGUAGGACCUUCCCCGUAUAAGCCUUAAAAUUUUAAAACAAUCAAAAAGGGACGAACCCUUUAAGCCAAGGGAUCUGAGGUGUAAAAAAUGAUUUUGAAAUUUUUCUUUAAAGCUAUAAAUUAUCUAAUAUUCAUGGGUUACAUUGUUGACUAUACCUUGGGUUUGAAUUGCCCUUCACAUCUGUUCUCUCUCUUGUUCAAAUAGGCAAG
Molecule: long non-coding RNA, 5315 nt
Filed under: Sus scrofa (pig)
Lineage: Eukaryota; Metazoa; Chordata; Mammalia; Artiodactyla; Suidae
Description: lncRNA (ENSSSCG00000052610.1)
Source: RNAcentral